UACGAAUCUAUAAUACUAAAAUUACGAGGUCCAAUUUGUCAGCCGUCAUCACGUAAAAACGACGAAUCAAAGAAUUCAACUUUAUAUAUAACUAAUAUAGUACAAAGGUGUAGAUUAAAAAUUACAUCACUCCAGGCCCUUUUGUUUUCCACGUUAUUAAUAUUGCCAAUAAUUAAGAAGUUCCGGGUCGAGUCCGAUACCGAUACCAAUAGAAUAUUCACCUGUUACCGAUUACCUUAUCUGUACGUUCCGCAUCUGACAGGCGCACCACCAAACGGUGUAUUCUGGAUUAAUAUGCUAUAUAGUAUUACACGGGUCAUAAUCACAGGGUUGACACUACUUAAUUGUCAAAUUGUUACCUAUAGUAGUAUUUUAAUCAGUUAGACUUUCUAAGAUAACAAUACGAAUACUAAAAAUCUGGACUAAAAUAAGGCGUAUAGGUACAGUUUUCAAUUUGUUAGCGGGC
RNAcentral lists this long non-coding RNA (466 nucleotides) under Mytilus galloprovincialis (Mediterranean mussel). The record is from RNAcentral. Lineage: Eukaryota; Metazoa; Mollusca; Bivalvia; Mytilida; Mytilidae.